UGAUAUAGAAUUUUUUCAUCAAAAUUGAAACAAUUCAUGGAAUUUGAAAAAAGGUUCAUCAAAAUUGAAAAUAAGUUCAUUAAUUUGAAAAAAAAUCAUCAAUUUGAAAAUAAGUUCAUUGAUUUGGAAAGAAGUUCAUCAAGUUUCAUGAAAACUCCAUCAAACUAAAAAAAGCAGCCAUUUAAAACAAAAAGUUCACAUAUUGCUAACAAUUAAAGGAACCAAGAUGAAAAGAAAGAAAAAACAGAAAAAAAAGGAAAACGAAAAACAAAAAAAGAAAAAGAAUAAUAGAAAAGGGAAAAGAAGUACUGUAAUAAUUAAGAGAACAAGUUCAUUUUUAACAGAUCCCGAGUGGGUGGCCUGAUGGUUGCACCAGGUAAUUUGGCAAGGUUGGUUGUCGGUUCGAAUCAUUUUAGCUAGUUAAUAAUAGAGAAAAGAAAGCCUAGAUGGGCCGGUCCAACUCACGUGCCCGCAGGCGCCGGUUUGCAUAAAAGCAAAGGAACCGGCGCCCUGUGACGUUAAAUAGGAAAAGCCUGGUGAUAGAUCAAGUCCUUCUCCGUAAAACGGUACUUGGGCCAUCCUAGUAGACCUGCAUCGCUCCCUAGAGAAAAGGGUGUGCUUCCAUUUGCUUCCCCAAAAAACGGUGGAUAUUUAUUCAAUCCCCAAAAUAGAGAACCGGUUAGAAACAUGUAACCCUUCCUUAAAAAACGAUA
Molecule: long non-coding RNA, 713 nt
Filed under: Hordeum vulgare
Lineage: Eukaryota; Viridiplantae; Streptophyta; Magnoliopsida; Poales; Poaceae
Description: long non-coding RNA (HVUL_LNC006568)
Source: RNAcentral